CAAGCAUAGCCCACCUACAGUGGAUCACCUCAAGCUCACGGUUCUUGGCAAAUGUCUCUGGGUCAGCUGAUAAUCCAGCAGUAUCCCACCCGUAGUCCCCAGGGAAUUCACCGGUCAGGUAUGAUGGGAUUUGGUCAGAGAAUGGACCCAAGUACUUUGGGCGGUCAGGGCCAUACCUGUUUAUAAGUAAUCAGAACAAUAUUUCCCUCUCUCUCAUGUUUUUUGCUCAUAAAAUAGAUUAAUGCAUGCAACAAAAUGUAACGUACCAGAUGCUGGUUGGAGCACUUUUGACGGUUCUACGCAUGGAAACGCGACCACCACCGACGGCACCGAUCUUGCAGACGAGCUCAUUGGACUGCUUCAAAGCUGUUUGGCCAGCGAAAGCAGAUUGUUGGAUAGCAGAGGUUGCCAUGGUGAU
This 418-nucleotide long non-coding RNA is filed under the name Gossypium barbadense (sea-island cotton). RNAcentral describes it as "long non-coding RNA (GBAR_LNC006656)". The record is from RNAcentral. Lineage: Eukaryota; Viridiplantae; Streptophyta; Magnoliopsida; Malvales; Malvaceae.